GUAAGGAACCCUUCCCCUGGGGCUGAUCCCUGGCUGACAGUCGACCGUGGGGUGCCAGAGGGGGGCAGGAGCUCGGUGAGUCAUUUUCCCGGUUCUUUGUCAACCUUUGGCUUACUCCUGCGUGUCGGCAGUGGCCCACGCCCACAAUGGGGGGGCGCAAGCCCGGGACUUGCCACCAGUGCACCUCUCGGCGUCCGCGACUGGCCUCUCGGGGCCUUUCCGCGUGGGCUGAGUUGGUAGCCGGCAAGUACCUUGAGCAGACAUGUUGGGACCCGAAAGAUGGUGAACUAUGCUUGGCCAGGACGAAGCCAGAGGAAACUCUGGUGGAGGUCCGCCGCGAUUCUGACGUGCAAAUCGAUCGUCGGAGCUGAGUAUAGGGGCGAAAGACUAAUCGAACCAUCUAGUAGCUGGUUCCCUCCGAAGUUUCCCUCAGGAUAGCUGGUACUCGAGGGUAAUUUCAUCCGGUAAAGCGAAUGAUUAGAGGUCUUGGGGACGAAACGUCCUCAACCUAUU
RNAcentral lists this ribosomal RNA (513 nucleotides) under Paralomis dofleini. RNAcentral describes it as "eukaryotic LSU rRNA". The stretch from base 116 to 513 matches the Rfam family "Eukaryotic large subunit ribosomal RNA", at positions 674 to 1056 of the family's 3401-position model. The record is from RNAcentral. Lineage: Eukaryota; Metazoa; Arthropoda; Malacostraca; Decapoda; Lithodidae.